RNAcentral lists this non-coding RNA (163 nucleotides) under uncultured Mediterraneibacter sp. Its description in RNAcentral is "Lysine riboswitch". It matches the Rfam family "Lysine riboswitch aptamer". Rfam says of the family: Riboswitches are metabolite binding domains within certain messenger RNAs that serve as precision sensors for their corresponding targets. Allosteric rearrangement of mRNA structure is mediated by ligand binding, and this results in modulation of gene expression. This family includes riboswitches that sense lysine in a number of genes involved in lysine metabolism, including lysC. The record is from RNAcentral. Lineage: Bacteria; Bacillati; Bacillota; Clostridia; Lachnospirales; Lachnospiraceae.
GAUAGAGGUUGCAUGUUUCAACAGUACGCUGACGGAUGCCGCAGGGGCAGAUGAACUCAGUGGAAAGGGAAAUGUGCCGAAAGGAUGAGCCCCCUGAAAACUUGUCCUUGGGCAUGACGCAAAAAGCGGCAUGACUGUCAUCGCAGGAUGGAGAGCUAUCUGA